CGCCGGCGUCGCGCAGGGCGAGCGCACCGGCCGCCUCCCGGCCGGCGGCGACGGUCAGCGCCGAGGUCUCGAUCGUCUCGAGGACGGCGCC
RNAcentral lists this transfer RNA (91 nucleotides) under Actinoplanes sp. OR16. RNAcentral's name for it is "tRNA-Glu". Lineage: Bacteria; Bacillati; Actinomycetota; Actinomycetes; Micromonosporales; Micromonosporaceae. The record is from RNAcentral.